GGGUUGUGAGGUUAAGCGACUAAGCGUACACGGUGGAUGCCCUGGCAGUCAGAGGCGAUGAAGGACGUGCUAAUCUGCGAUAAGCGCCGGUAAGGUGAUAUGAACCGUUAUAACCGGCGAUUUCCGAAUGGGGAAACCCAGUGUGAUUCGUCACACUAUCAUUAACUGAAUCCAUAGGUUAAUGAGGCGAACCGGGGGAACUGAAACAUCUAAGUACCCCGAGGAAAAGAAAUCAACCGAGAUUCCCCCAGUAGCGGCGAGCGAACGGGGAGGAGCCCAGAGCCUGAAUCAGCAUGUGUGUUAGUGGAAGCGUCUGGAAAGGCGCGCGAUACAGGGUGACAGCCCCGUACACAAAAGCGCAUGUGCUGUGAGCUCGAUGAGUAGGGCGGGACACGUGGUAUCCUGUCUGAAUAUGGGGGGACCAUCCUCCAAGGCUAAAUACUCCUGACUGACCGAUAGUGAACCAGUACCGUGAGGGAAAGGCGAAAAGAACCCCGGCGAGGGGAGUGAAAAAGAACCUGAAACCGUGUACGUACAAGCAGUGGGAGCACCCUUCGGGGUGUGACUGCGUACCUUUUGUAUAAUGGGUCAGCGACUUAUAUUCUGUAGCAAGGUUAACCGUAUAGGGGAGCCGGAGGGAAACCGAGUCUUAAUUGGGCGUUAAGUUGCAGGGUAUAGACCCGAAACCCGGUGAUCUAGCCAUGGGCAGGUUGAAGGUUGGGUAACACUAACUGGAGGACCGAACCGACUAAUGUUGAAAAAUUAGCGGAUGACCUGUGGCUGGGGGUGAAAGGCCAAUCAAACCGGGAGAUAGCUGGUUCUCCCCGAAAGCUAUUUAGGUAGCGCCUCGUGAAUUCAUCUCCGGGGGUAGAGCACUGUUUCGGCUAGGGGGCCAUCCCGGCUUACCAACCCGAUGCAAACUGCGAAUACCGGAGAAUGUUAUCACGGGAGACACACGGCGGGUGCUAACGUCCGUCGUGAAGAGGGAAACAACCCAGACCGCCAGCUAAGGUCCCAAAGUCAUGGUUAAGUGGGAAACGAUGUGGGAAGGCCCAGACAGCCAGGAUGUUGGCUUAGAAGCAGCCAUCAUUUAAAGAAAGCGUAAUAGCUCACUGGUCGAGUCGGCCUGCGCGGAAGAUGUAACGGGGCUAAACCAUGCACCGAAGCUGCGGCAGCGAACGUAUCACCCAAGACAACUUUACGGAGUUGACGAUUGACGGAGCGAAGCGACGUCAAAGCGUUCAUUAAAGUCGAGUUGGCUUAGGGAUACGUUCGUUGGGUAGGGGAGCGUUCUGUAAGCCUGUGAAGGUGUGUCGUGAGGCAUGCUGGAGGUAUCAGAAGUGCGAAUGCUGACAUAAGUAACGAUAAAGCGGGUGAAAAGCCCGCUCGCCGGAAGACCAAGGGUUCCUGUCCAACGUUAAUCGGGGCAGGGUGAGUCGACCCCUAAGGCGAGGCCGAAAGGCGUAGUCGAUGGGAAACGGGUUAAUAUUCCCGUACUUGGUGUUACUGCGAAGGGGGGACGGAGAAGGCUAUGUUGGCCGGGCGACGGUUGUCCCGGUUUAAGCGUGUAGGUGUGUGUUCCAGGUAAAUCCGGUUCACUUUAACACUGAGGCGUGACGACGAGGCACUACGGUGCUGAAGCAACAAAUGCCCUGCUUCCAGGAAAAGCCUCUAAGCAUCAGGUAACACGAAAUCGUACCCCAAACCGACACAGGUGGUCAGGUAGAGAAUACCAAGGCGCUUGAGAGAACUCGGGUGAAGGAACUAGGCAAAAUGGUGCCGUAACUUCGGGAGAAGGCACGCUGACACGUAGGUGAAGUGAUUUACUCAUGGAGCUGAAGUCAGUCGAAGAUACCAGCUGGCUGCAACUGUUUAUUAAAAACACAGCACUGUGCAAACACGAAAGUGGACGUAUACGGUGUGACGCCUGCCCGGUGCCGGAAGGUUAAUUGAUGGGGUCAGCGCAAGCGAAGCUCCUGAUCGAAGCCCCGGUAAACGGCGGCCGUAACUAUAACGGUCCUAAGGUAGCGAAAUUCCUUGUCGGGUAAGUUCCGACCUGCACGAAUGGCGUAAUGAUGGCCAGGCUGUCUCCACCCGAGACUCAGUGAAAUUGAACUCGCUGUGAAGAUGCAGUGUACCCGCGGCAAGACGGAAAGACCCCGUGAACCUUUACUAUAGCUUGACACUGAACAUUGAGCCUUGAUGUGUAGGAUAGGUGGGAGGCUUUGAAGUGUGGACGCCAGUCUGCAUGGAGCCGACCUUGAAAUACCACCCUUUAAUGUUUGAUGUUCUAACGUGGACCCGUUACCCGGGUUGCGGACAGUGUCUGGUGGGUAGUUUGACUGGGGCGGUCUCCUCCUAAAGAGUAACGGAGGAGCACGAAGGUUGGCUAAUCCUGGUCGGACAUCAGGAGGUUAGUGCAAUGGCAUAAGCCAGCUUGACUGCGAGCGUGACGGCGCGAGCAGGUGCGAAAGCAGGUCAUAGUGAUCCGGUGGUUCUGAAUGGAAGGGCCAUCGCUCAACGGAUAAAAGGUACUCCGGGGAUAACAGGCUGAUACCGCCCAAGAGUUCAUAUCGACGGCGGUGUUUGGCACCUCGAUGUCGGCUCAUCACAUCCUGGGGCUGAAGUAGGUCCCAAGGGUAUGGCUGUUCGCCAUUUAAAGUGGUACGCGAGCUGGGUUUAGAACGUCGUGAGACAGUUCGGUCCCUAUCUGCCGUGGGCGCUGGAGAACUGAGGGGGGCUGCUCCUAGUACGAGAGGACCGGAGUGGACGCAUCACUGGUGUUCGGGUUGUCAUGCCAAUGGCACUGCCCGGUAGCUAAAUGCGGAAGAGAUAAGUGCUGAAAGCAUCUAAGCACGAAACUUGCCCCGAGAUGAGUUCUCCCUGAGACUUAGAGUCUCCUGAAGGAACGUUGAAGACGACGACGUUGAUAGGCCGGGUGUGUAAGCGCAGCGAUGCGUUGAGCUAACCGGUACUAAUGAACCGUGAGGCUUAACCUUACAACGCCGAAG
Molecule: ribosomal RNA, 3011 nt
Filed under: Salmonella enterica subsp. enterica serovar 1,4,[5],12:i:-
Lineage: Bacteria; Pseudomonadati; Pseudomonadota; Gammaproteobacteria; Enterobacterales; Enterobacteriaceae
Description: 23S ribosomal RNA
Rfam family: Bacterial large subunit ribosomal RNA
Source: RNAcentral